UUUGCUUUAAUCUCCUUGUUUAUUCUUUAAACUUCACUAGAAAGGUUGCGUGAAAUAAGGUAUGGUGGGGAGGGGAUGCAGUAUCUGCAGAGUGCAGUUUUUUGUAUGUGUUACUGUUCCUUUGGCCUCAUAUGCUUGCAGUGAUGGUUCCUUACUUGUUUUAGUUUUCAAUUGGAUAUUAUAGUGCAGUUAAAAUAAUAGAAGUGUGCAGAAAUUUUUUUGCUUCAAGUAUAACUGAAUGCCAAAUUACUAGUUUUGAGAUGUUAGCUUUGAUUUUAAACACUUGUUCUUUACUUUUAAAGAAAUCUUUACAUAUCAGUUCUUUUGAUUUUGAGCCUUACAUGACCAGUUGAGUUUUCUUUGUAGAGACACCAAUAUAUUUAUUUGAUGAAGUGGAAUUUAUCAUGUUUGAUCAUCUUCCAAAAACAUCAUUUCAUUUAAAAGGAAAACAUUAACUUACAUACACAGCAAUGAAUUAAAACUUAGAUCAAAUCAUGCUGAUUUAUCCUCCAGAUUUUCUCUUUUUUGCUUAAACAUCCUUCCCCCAACCUGAAGGGACCUGCCUUAUUGGAUGACUCUGUGAGCUAAAUUUUAUUUCUCAAUAUAGAAGAGUUUAAUUAAUGUUGUUUGUGGUUAUAUGAUAGUUAUUCAUCUUAUUAAUGUGUCUCUUGCUGUUCCGUAUGCAAGGCUACAGAUAAUCAGGUACAGUAGCAAUUGCUUUCCCUUUCUUUAAGUUACCAGUGUAAAGGCUUUCACAGGUGUCAGGUUGCCUUAUUUCCUUCUUCUAUCUUCUUGAGCUUUAAGAAACACUUGUCUGUAAUUCAUGCUCUGGUGUUGCCAUAAAUACUGGAUGGUGAAAGUGGAGUGGAUUCAUCAGAAAAGGAGUUGAGAUCAUUAUGAGCUCUUUGCUGUCUAGAACAUGAAUAUCUGAUUACUCAUAAAAGGUUUCUCUUUCAUAUUUCUUUUCUAACAAAAGUUUGAAUGAAAGUUAUAUGCUGCAACUUGUUCACCUGCUCAAGAUGCUGGAGCUGGUUAUGUGGCUUGGGGUCGCUCAACCCUUAUUGGACCUGUCAGUAAAUGCUUGUUUUUUAGCUCUGUUAUGGAUUAACAAAAUAAGGUUAUGCUAAAGAGAUACAUAUGGAAAGCAAGACUCUCUGAAUCUUUUGUGGUUAUAAGUCUUUUAAGGGGACAAGUAUAUACUCUAAAUUUUUGCAUGUGACAGUUUGGAGAAGUUCUGGCUACCUUUGAACAUGAUGAGAACAUAAUUAUAGCAGAGAUUGAUUAUUCAAUACUUGAGCAACGAAGGGCAAGUCUCCCUUCAGCAAAGCAACGGUGAGGUGAUUUUUACCAGUUGCUAGACAUCCAGAGACUCAACUCUCAUUGAUUACAGAAGAGAACCUUCUGAGAGAGCUAUGAUUCACGGUGAGAAUUUUUCAUCAAGAAAGAUGGGAUUCUAUUGAUAAUCAGGAGACUCUUCUAGUCCUUUAAACUCAGUAUUUAGAGAGAUGUUAAUCAUUUGGAUGAUUACUGGAAACUCAUAUUUGAGAAUAAAUGGAAUUGCUACUGUUGUCCUGUU
RNAcentral lists this small RNA (1576 nucleotides) under Theobroma cacao (cacao). Its description in RNAcentral is "sRNA Tc09v2_g005290". The record is from RNAcentral. Lineage: Eukaryota; Viridiplantae; Streptophyta; Magnoliopsida; Malvales; Malvaceae.